CCUACGGGGGGCUGCAGUGGGGAAUAUUGCACAAUGGGGGAAACCCUGAUGCAGCGACGCCGCGUGAGUGAAGAAGGCAUUCGGGAUGUAAAGCUCUAUCAGCAGGGAAGAAAAUGACGGUACAUGAGUAAGAAGCCCCGGCUAACUCCGUGCCAGCAGCCGCGGUAAAACGUAGGGGGCAAGAGUUAUCCGGAUUUACUGGGUGUAAAGGGGGCGUAGACGGCAGUGCAAGUCUGGAGUGAAAGGCGGGGGCUCAAUCCCCGGACUGCUCUUGAAACUGUACGGCUGGAGUGCAGGAGAGGUCAGUGGAAUUCCUAGUGUAGCGGUGAAAUGCGUAGAUAUUAGGAGGAACACCAGUGGCGAAGGCGGCUUACUGGACUGUAACUGACGUUGAGGCUCGAAAGCGUGGGGAGCAAACAGGAUUAGAUACCCCUGUAGUC
This 440-nucleotide ribosomal RNA is filed under the name uncultured bacterium. RNAcentral describes it as "partial 16S ribosomal RNA". It matches the Rfam family "Bacterial small subunit ribosomal RNA", at positions 338 to 795 of the family's 1533-position model. The record is from RNAcentral.